Molecule: small nucleolar RNA, 107 nt
Organism: Carya illinoinensis
Lineage: Eukaryota; Viridiplantae; Streptophyta; Magnoliopsida; Fagales; Juglandaceae
Source: RefSeq, a predicted model, not a curated record
AGGUUGGGAUGCGGACACUUGUGCAAUAAGUCCUUGUAUCUCACCCAUGCCUCAUAUUAUGAUUCACCCUCAAAUUGGGUGAAGGUAGUAAUAUCAUUCCUUAACUU